ACGACUCUCGGCAACGGAUAUCUCGGCUCUCGCAUCGAUGAAGAACGCAGCGAAAUGCGAUACUUGGUGUGAAUUGCAGAAUCCCGCGAACCAUCGAGUUUUUGAACGCAAGUUGCGCCCAAAGCCAUUCGGCCGAGGGCACGUCUGCCUGGGUGUCACGCAACAU
RNAcentral lists this ribosomal RNA (166 nucleotides) under Croton cascarilloides. Its description in RNAcentral is "5.8S ribosomal RNA". It matches the Rfam family "5.8S ribosomal RNA". Rfam says of the family: 5.8S ribosomal RNA (5.8S rRNA) is a component of the large subunit of the eukaryotic ribosome. RNAcentral also lists the same sequence under 9 other names. Lineage: Eukaryota; Viridiplantae; Streptophyta; Magnoliopsida; Malpighiales; Euphorbiaceae. The record is from RNAcentral.